Molecule: ribosomal RNA, 1438 nt
Filed under: Protoperidinium conicoides
Lineage: Eukaryota; Dinophyceae; Peridiniales; Protoperidiniaceae
Description: LSU rRNA
Rfam family: Eukaryotic large subunit ribosomal RNA
Source: RNAcentral
ACCCGCUGAAUUUAAGCAUAUAAGUAAGCAGUGGAUGAGAAAUGCACACGGACUCCCCCAGUAAUGGCGAAUGAAUGAGGACAGGCUCAACAUGGACAUCGGGGUGUAAAGCUCUGAAGUGUCAUUUCAAGAUGUGUCACUAAUGGAGGUACAAUAACAUGCUCUUGAAAUAUAGCAUUGGAGAGGGUGGAAAUCCUUUGUAUCAUUUGUGAACUUCAAUGCACAGUGCACAUUCUAAGAGUCAGGCUUCUUGGUCUUGGUGCGCAAAGUAGGUGGUACAUUUCAUCUGAAACUUAAUACAUGUUUGGGACCAACAGCAAAUAAGUACCAUGAGGGAAAGGUGAAACAUGACUUUGAAGAGAGAGGCAACAUUGUCUGAAGUCGCUGAGGAAGAAGUGAGGGAAACCAGCUCUGCUUUGUGAGGUUGUUGCGUUUCGAGUACUUGAUUGACACGUCUUUGCAGCCGUGACCGCAAGAUAUGAGCACGAUGUGCGCGAUGUUCCCCAUUCUGUCAAUCCAUGUCAGUAUUGUGCCCUAACGCAAUAGCAGGCACAUGGAAAACUGCAUUUGUGCAGUUGAAUGUGCUUGUCUGUAGUAUCGCAUGUAUUGUGUGGUGACAACAAAGUUCCACCUGUCCCGUCUUGAAACACGGACCAAGGAGUCUAACAUGCACGCGAGUUGAUGGGUGGCAAACCGGAUAUGCAGAGUUAAUGUGUUGGCUGGGAUUCUUUGCGCUGGCAACCAACCGCUUGACAGUGAGAGGUUUGAGUAUGAACGUGGCUGUUAGGACCCGAAAGAUGGUGAACUAUGCCUGUGAAGGGCAAGCUCAGGGGAAACUCUGAUGGAAGCCUGCAAUGAUAUUGACGUGCAAAUUGUUCGUUGUACAUGGGUAUAGGGGUGCAAGACCAAUCGAAUCAUCUAGUAGCUGGUUCCCUCUAAAGUUUCCCUCAGGACAGCUAGAGCAGAACAGCUUUCUCAGGUAAAGCGAAUGAUUAGAGGACUUGGGGGCUUGUAGUCCUUGACCUAUUCUCAAACUCUAAAUAGGGAAGGCCUAGGGGUUACUUCAAUGACCCCCUGGGACAAGUGACAACUCUAUGUGGGCCAUUUUUGGUAAGCAGAACUGGCGAUUAGGGAUGAACCUCAUGUUGGGCUCAGGUGCUUAGUUGCUUGCUCAUGAGAGACCAUAAAAGGGUGUUGGUUCAUUUAUACAGCAGGACGGUGGUCAUGGAAGUUGAAACCCGCUGAAGAGUGUGUAAUAACUCACCUGCCGAAUGAACGAGCCCCGAAAAUGGAUAGCGCUCAAACAGGUGACUGACAUCCAACCAAUGCUGCAAUCGUAUUGCACCAAUGUUUAAGGGGGCAUGGGGAUUUUGCGAUGAAGUUUGUGGCACACGCCUGGGUGAAGCAGCCCCUGAUGCAGAUCUUGGUGGUAGUAGCA